GCCGAAGACGGGCGUGGCGCCAGGGGGCGGGGCCUGCGGAGCCCUGGAGCGCGAGGACUCACUCCUAACGCCGAGAGUGGGCGGACCCGUCUCAACUAGGACCUCAGGAGCAGUGGCAGCCGGCCGAUACUGGUUUGUAGACUCUCGUCUUGGAAGAGGGCGCGCGACCGUCGAGGGCAACCCUUGCAUUUCCAAUGGCUGGAAGACUGCUUAGAAUCGUCUGUUUGGGCUCCAGCUCUGACGUUUGGAGUCUCCUUGUUUUGUGGCCGACUUGAUGUGGGUCUCCAGAGGGAGGCUGACAUGGUUUUGUUGCCGUAUUCCUCAAGCCCAGAAAGUUCCUGAUGCAUCGAAGGUGUUUUGAAAAUACUUGUAUCUGAGUAAAAGCUCUCCAAUCAGAUUCCAACUAGGCCCUGAGAGUUCCCAGAUGGGAGCUGUAGAAGAACUGGCAAGCAGGACUGGGAACACCCACCACUCCCAUCACUGCCGCAAAGAGUCAAGAUGGAGAAGGACGUCCAGGAAAGAAAAAGGAUGUGAUUCUCUGAGAACCCGAGGACUAAGUCAGGGUCACCUUCCCUUCUUCACCUCACCCAGGAGAGCACUGCCAAGGCCACCAACCUUAGGACAACUCCUCUUUGGCAGAAGAGGCUUUCGAUCACUAACUUGUGCUGCUUUCCCAGCUGCACGCGAACAAAUAGGUUUCAGACAUCUGAAUUGUUUUUUUAAACAGCUGGCCCCACCCAUUCAUUGGUACCAGGCGGGCCCUUGCAGAGGCUGAGUCCAGCCUUGAUGUGGCCGGGGUGUCCAGAAGGCUGGGCAACAGACUAUGCUGGGUGUACCCAGUUGCUGCCCAGCUGGGCCUGGUGGGGAGGCUUUGGGUGGUGUUGCCGGGCAACCUGGCUAAUUGGAGAGGCCACGGAUUGGGCUUCUGGGCCACAGAGACGAACAGCCUCCUUCAUCAUACUGCAGACCAUCAUUAUGCCUCAUUCCAGAGUCCUGCAGCAAUCUCUCUGUGGUUAUAGCCUGAAAGAGGGCUUUUUUAGCUACAGAAAUUAAGAACCAGCCUUUCCAAUUUAUGGGUUUGUGGUUGUGGUUGUUUUCUUUUCGCUACAUCUCCAAGAAUACACUUGAAAUAAAUAGGCAAAAGAUUUCAAAACGAAAUGGAAAGUACCAUCACAAAUCCCCUUUUCCAAAAGUGUUCCUUCUUCCUGAAGCAAAACACACUUGCCCUCAAUUGUGAGGGCACCUAAGGUAGGGAUGCUCUUCUUCCUGAGGUCUCUGCAUGCCUACUGUGUGUUAAAAGAUUCUUCUUUGGAAUCCCACAACUGUGGCUGUGGUUCAAGGUGGGGGGACCAAGACUCUGGUCAUGUACAAGACCUCUCAGUGGAAUAAUUUCUUUGUGUCUCUCCCAUUCAAAGACCAUCAUGAUACUGCCCCUUCCCAAUCCACAGAACUACUUUCACU
Cervus elaphus (red deer) is the source of this 1461-nucleotide long non-coding RNA. RefSeq lists it as uncharacterized. The transcript has 3 exons. NCBI's taxonomy places the organism in Eukaryota, Metazoa, Chordata, Mammalia, Artiodactyla, Cervidae. The record is from RefSeq and is a predicted model, not a curated record.